CACUGGUCGAGUGAUCCUGCGCCGAAGAUUUCCGGGGCUAAAACUUACUACCGAAGCUACGGCAUCAGUAAUGAUGGGUAGGGGAGCUUCCCAUACGGGUUGAAGCAUGACCGUAAGGACAUGUGGACAGUAUGGGAGUGAGAAUGUUGGCAUGGGUAGCGAGAUGUGGGUGAGAAUCCCACAGGCCGUAAACCCAAGGUUUCCAGGGGAAGGUUCGUCCGCCCUGGGUUAGUCGGGACCUAAGCUGAGGCCGAAAGGCGUAGGUGAUGGACAACAGGUUGAUAUUCCUGUACUACCGAUAACCGUUUG
This 309-nucleotide ribosomal RNA is filed under the name Clostridioides difficile. Its description in RNAcentral is "partial 23S ribosomal RNA". It matches the Rfam family "Bacterial large subunit ribosomal RNA", at positions 1143 to 1460 of the family's 2925-position model. The record is from RNAcentral. Lineage: Bacteria; Bacillati; Bacillota; Clostridia; Peptostreptococcales; Peptostreptococcaceae.